CUGAACCUGCUAUUAGGAAGCUUCAAACCGUUAAUUCAUAUAUAUAGUCUCCCUAAUACCAAAAAUUAAUAGUCUUUCGAAAACACAUGUUUAAGGCAUAAUUCAUCUCUUCCCAAUAAGUACGUAGUUCAUAAUCUUUAUACGUACAUAAUAGAGACGGUAAUGAUAAAAAAAAAAAAAAAAACAAUGGAGAUUACUAAACACAAUUCUUCUAACUAAAUUGACUAUAUUUGCAAUGCUCUUUUCAUGGUUGUCGAUGAGAAUAAAGUGCAUGCGUGAGUGAAAUCUGACUGUUGUACAUAGAAAAUUUAUCUCUAGAAAGUGGUUGUCCAGCCCACUUAGUGAAAUCUGAUUUUCGUAAAAUCGUG
This 368-nucleotide long non-coding RNA is filed under the name Capsella rubella. RNAcentral describes it as "long non-coding RNA (CRUB_LNC000985)". Lineage: Eukaryota; Viridiplantae; Streptophyta; Magnoliopsida; Brassicales; Brassicaceae. The record is from RNAcentral.